RNAcentral lists this ribosomal RNA (301 nucleotides) under uncultured bacterium. RNAcentral's name for it is "partial 16S ribosomal RNA". It matches the Rfam family "Bacterial small subunit ribosomal RNA", at positions 509 to 807 of the family's 1533-position model. The record is from RNAcentral.
CAGUAGCCACGGGAAAACGUAGGUGGCAAGCGUUGUCCGGAAUUAUUGGGCGUAAAGGGCGCGUAGGCGGACAGUUCAGUCGGGGGUGAAAGCCCGGGGCUCAACCCCGGAACUGCCUUUGAAACUAGGAGACUUGGAUCUUGGAGAGGUCAGUGGAAUUCCGAGUGUAGAGGUGAAAUUCGUAGAUAUUCGGAAGAACACCAGUGGCGAAGGCGACUGACUGGACAAGUAUUGACGCUGAGGUGCGAAAGCGUGGGGAGCAAACAGGAUUAGAUACCCCGGUAGUCCCUGUCUCUUAUAC